This 2365-nucleotide long non-coding RNA is filed under the name Papio anubis (olive baboon). Its description in RNAcentral is "lncRNA (ENSPANG00000042145.1)". Lineage: Eukaryota; Metazoa; Chordata; Mammalia; Primates; Cercopithecidae. The record is from RNAcentral.
UCAGAUAUCAUUUUACAGUGAUGCCCAAGUAAGAAGUAGUUUAUUUUCAAACGACUAUGCUAGUUCCAAGCGUUGAUGGACGCUUGGGCCAAUCCAUUUGGGACUCAUAUUUAGCACCUCUGCUUCUUACUCUAUCCAUGAUAUAAAGAUUUAUGUAUUUCCCAAUCAGUAAUCUCAUGGGCCUCUCUUUUUGUACUUCCCUCAGGUUCACUCAGAAUGAUGACAGUCCAUUUCUUUGAGACGCUCCUAAAGCCCUGGGGCUGCUGGUCAUCAUGGCUGCCUCAUUGUGCUCAGCAACUACAGGCAGAGUCCACUCCAUAUGAUCACUUUUUCAGCCUUCAUCUUCACUAUCUGCCUAUAUGGCUCCUGCCAUUCAAAGUCAUUAUGCAGGUAACUUGCAGUUUCCAUUUGUACAAAAUUUCCCUUGACCAAUAAAUACGAAAAAAAAAAAAAUGACAGUAUUUUGGUCAAAGUAGCUGAAUAUCAGUCCUCAGUUUAGAUUGGAGAUUUGUACUAAUCAGAGCAAAAAUUUAAACCAGAGAAUCCAAUUUCCUGGAAAACUGUUACAGCUCCACUUUUCUAGGACUCUGAGGUGAAUUUUUUUAGAGGAGUUCAUCUCUUUCUGUAAGAAUAGUGGUUCCAAUUAUAGUCUGACAGAGUUGGACAAACCUUGGUCAAAACCUCAACUCAAUCACAGACAAACCAAGUCACUGAGCAAGUUAUCACUAUCAAAUGGAAAUAUUAACUGGGGGCGGUGGCUCAUGCCUGUAAUCUCAGCACUUUGGGAGGUCGAGGCGGGCGGAUCACCUGAGGUCGGGAGUUUGAGACCAGCCUGACCAACAUGCUGAAACCCUGUCCCUACAGAAAAUACAAAAUUAGCCAGGGGUGGUGGUGCAUGCCUGUAAUCCCAGCUACUUGGGAGGCUGAGGCAGGAGAAUCACUUGAACCUGGGAGGCCGAUGUCACGGUGAGCCCAAAUUGCGCCAUUGCACUCCAGCCUGGGCAACAAGAACAAAACUCCGUCUCAAAAAAAAAAAAAAAAAAAAAAAAAGGAAAUAUUAGCAGAUUAGCAGUACUUUCUUGUGGGUUUAUUGUAUUAAAUUAGUAAAGCACUUUUGGAGAUGCAUGGCACAUAAGAGCUUAGUUAAUGACAACUAUUAUUAAGUGUCCUGAACAAAUCCUUUUUCCUUUAUAUUCACCAUCUCUUUGUUAUCAUAUUUAUUUAAAAUCAAAAAGUAUUAAACUAAUACCUAUUAGUUUUGCUUCUCGGGGCUUGGGAAAACUAUUUAAUCCUUUUUAAAUGCUCCAGAAGUUUGCAUGUUGCUGAGCUGUGAUAUGGAAAGCAAUACGUAUUUGAAGCUCAUUAUUCAUGCACUGCUAAAAGAAAACGGAAGCAGUCAGUGCCAGAGAUAUGUUGACACAGUGUUGGGUUGUUUAUUUUUCAUUAAGGAUGGAACAGAAUGGAGCACAUACUUUUGAGACUAGACCAUAGAACCGAAUAUCUGAAAACUCUGUUAAAACUUCCUUCUGGAUACUUACAACCAUUUGAGAAUUGUUGCAAAGAUUUUAGAACUUAAACAAAUCUACAAAGCAUCUCCUUGAACUUCCCGGAAGCUGUGAUGCUCAUGAACUUCAGAAUUUACUUUCAUCAUAAAGUUCAUUUCUAAAUACCCCUUCCCCCCAUUUUUGUUCUGUUUUCUUUUCCUUUAUCCCUUCUAAUUCCACAGAUUUGUCAGAUACCUUAUUUCUGCAGUGUAAAAGAAUGUAUUUGUAGGUGGAUUUGUUCUAACUAGUAGAGAUUAUACAGUAGAUCAAAUCUGUUCUGCAAAGGCUCCCUUAUAUAAAACAGAGCAUUUUGUUUUGCAUUUCUCUUACUUUGCUUUUCUUUGCCUCUCCUUUUCCCAUUUACUGAUUUCUUUACCAAUCUGUUUUCCUGUAUAUUUCUCUUCAGUUUCUAUAUUUUCUUUGUAAUAAUUUUAUAUUCCUUUUCUCUUUAAUUCUAUUUCUUUUAACACAUGCAUUCUUAUUAUCUGGCAUUUUCAAUAUCCUUGACAUUUUCUGUAUUCUCCCUAUCAAUUUUUUAACUCUCUGUCUAAUUUUAUGUUUCCUAUUAAUUACCACAUAAAAAGAGGACAAAAUAAUUCAUGUUUUUGAGAUUUUGUCACACACCAGCCGCUCAGAUGAGCUCUUUUCUUUGUAGAAGAUGGUAUAAUUCCUAUUUUUCAAAUGAGGAGACUCAGUGAGAUUAUAGAGCACGACUGAAGGGGGGUUAUGAAGCAGCUAGAUAAUGUUGUAGAAGUUUCAGCUGGAUAAACGGGUUUCCAGAACUCACUAGUUCUGAAAAAUAAUGAGAGAUAGAAAUAGAA